RNAcentral lists this unclassified non-coding RNA (400 nucleotides) under uncultured fungus. Its description in RNAcentral is "sequence contains ITS1". The stretch from base 1 to 105 matches the Rfam family "5.8S ribosomal RNA", at positions 50 to 154 of the family's 154-position model. The record is from RNAcentral. Lineage: Eukaryota; Fungi.
GAAAUGCGAUACGCAAUGCGAAUUGCAGAAUUCCGCGAGUCAUCAGAUCUUUGAACGCAGCCCGCGCCGGUGGGAUAUCCCACUGGCAUGUUUGUUUCAGUGUGUUUGAUCUACAUCACAAACCUCAAUGCGAUUGAAGCGAAUUUUCCUAAUCGAAAGUUGGUUUCUCUCGUUAAAUCCGAGCGUUUUGCGACGAGUCCUAACAAAAAGGCUUCUCGCAUCCAAGCGAAGCGGUCGCUGUUCAGCAGUGAUUUCGCUUGGAUCUUAGUCAAAUUACAAGUUUUCAUAAAAUUUGUUUUUGAGCGAGUUUCAAAGCUGGACUCAUUAAGUUGCACGCAUAUAUUAAUUUAAAAAUCUUCAUUUUGCACCUGAAAUCAAGCAAGACCACCCGCUGAACUUA